GACGAACGCUGGCGGCGUGGAUUAGGCAUGCAAGUCGAACGGUAUCAUCCUUUCGGGGGUGAGAGAGUGGCGAACUGGUGAGUAACACGUAGGUUAUCUACCCUCAAGACGGGGACAACCCAGGGAAACUUGGGCUAAUACCGGAUGUGAGCAACUUUUAGUUGUUUGAAAGGUGGCGUAAGCUGUCGCUUGGGGAUGAGCCUGCGUCCUAUUAGUUAGUUGGUGAGGUAACGGCUCACCUAGGCAAUGAUAGGUAGGCGGCCUUAACGGGUGGUCGCCCACACUGGGAUUGAGAUACGGCCCAGACUCCUACGGGAGGCAGCAGUCGAGAAUAGUCUACAAUGGUCGGAAGACUGAUAGUGCGACGCCGCGUGAACGAUGAAUCCCUUCGGGGUUAAAGUUCUUUUAUAUGUGAGCAGUGCUUCUUAUAUUAACAGUAUGGGGAAGAGAUAUUAGCAUAUGAAUAAGCAACGGCUAACUCCGUGCCAGCAGCCGGGUAA
Molecule: ribosomal RNA, 500 nt
Filed under: uncultured bacterium
Lineage: Bacteria
Description: bacterial SSU rRNA
Rfam family: Bacterial small subunit ribosomal RNA
Source: RNAcentral